CGAAUGGGGAAACCCAGCAUGAGUUAUGUCAUGUUAUCGAUAUGUGAAUACAUAGCAUAUCAGAAGGCACACCCGGAGAACUGAAACAUCUUAGUACCCGGAGGAAGAGAAAGAAAAUUCGAUUCCCUUAGUAGCGGCGAGCGAAAUGGGAAGAGCCCAAACCAACAAGCUUGCUUGUUGGGGUUGUAGGACACUCUAUACGGAGUUACAAAGGACGACAUUAGACGAAUCAUCUGGAAAGAUGAAUCAAAGAAGGUAAUAAUCCUGUAGUCGAAAAUGUUGUCUCUCUUGAGUGGAUCCUGAGUACGACGGAGCACGUGAAAUUCCGUCGGAAUCUGGGAGGACCAUCUCCUAAGGCUAAAUACUCUCUAGUGACCGAUAGUGAACCAGUACCGUGAGGGAAAGGUGAAAAGCACCCCGGAAGGGGAGUGAAAUAGAACCUGAAACCGUGUGCUUACAAGUAGUCAGAGCCCGUUAAUGGGUGAUGGCGUGCCUUUUGUAGAAUGAACCGGCGAGUUACGAUUUGAUGCAAGGUUAAGCAGUAAAUGUGGAGCCGUAGCGAAAGCGAGUCUGAAUAGGGCGUUUAGUAUUUGGUCGUAGACCCGAAACCAGGUGAUCUACCCUUGGUCAGGUUGAAGUUCAGGUAACACUGAAUGGAGGACCGAACCGACUUACGUUGAAAAGUGAGCGGAUGAACUGAGGGUAGCGGAGAAAUUCCAAUCGAACCUGGAGAUAGCUGGUUCUCUCCGAAAUAGCUUUAGGGCUAGCCUCAAGUGAUGAUUAUUGGAGGUAGAGCACUGUUUGGACGAGGGGCCCCUCUCGGGUUACCGAAUUCAGACAAACUCCGAAUGCCAAUUUAAUUUAACUUGGGAGUCAGAACAUGGGUGAUAAGGUCCGUGUUCGAAAGGGAAACAGCCCAGACCACCAGCUAAGGUCCCAAAAUAUAUGUUAAGUGGAAAAGGAUGUGGCGUUGCCCAGACAACUAGGAUGUUGGCUUAGAAGCAGCCAUCAUUUAAAGAGUGCGUAAUAGCUCACUAGUCGAGUGACACUGCGCCGAAAAUGUACCGGGGCUAAACAUAUUACCGAAGCUGUGGAUUGUCCUUUGGACAAUGGUAGGAGAGCGUUCUAAGGGCGUUGAAGCAUGAUCGUAAGGACAUGUGGAGCGCUUAGAAGUGAGAAUGCCGGUGUGAGUAGCGAAAGACGGGUGAGAAUCCCGUCCACCGAUUGACUAAGGUUUCCAGAGGAAGGCUCGUCCGCUCUGGGUUAGUCGGGUCCUAAGCUGAGGCCGACAGGCGUAGGCGAUGGAUAACAGGUUGAUAUUCCUGUACCACCUAUAAUCGUUUUAAUCGAUGGGGGGACGCAGUAGGAUAGGCGAAGCGUGCGAUUGGAUUGCACGUCUAAGCAGUAAGGCUGAGUAUUAGGCAAAUCCGGUACUCGUUAAGGCUGAGCUGUGAUGGGGAGAAGACAUUGUGUCUUCGAGUCGUUGAUUUCACACUGCCGAGAAAAGCCUCUAGAUAGAAAAUAGGUGCCCGUACCGCAAACCGACACAGGUAGUCAAGAUGAGAAUUCUAAGGUGAGCGAGCGAACUCUCGUUAAGGAACUCCGCAAAAUGACCCCGUAACUUCGGGAGAAGGGGUGCUCUUUAGGGUUAACGCCCAGAAGAGCCGCAGUGAAUAGGCCCAAGCGACUGUUUAUCAAAAACACAGGUCUCUGCUAAACCGUAAGGUGAUGUAUAGGGGCUGACGCCUGCCCGGUGCUGGAAGGUUAAGAGGAGUGGUUAGCUUCUGCGAAGCUACGAAUCGAAGCCCCAGUAAACGGCGGCCGUAACUAUAACGGUCCUAAGGUAGCGAAAUUCCUUGUCGGGUAAGUUCCGACCCGCACGAAAGGCGUAACGAUUUGGGCACUGUCUCAACGAGAGACUCGGUGAAAUCAUAGUACCUGUGAAGAUGCAGGUUACCCGCGACAGGACGGAAAGACCCCGUGGAGCUUUACUGUAGCCUGAUAUUGAAAUUCGGCACAGCUUGUACAGGAUAGGUAGGAGCCUUUGAAACGUGAGCGCUAGCUUACGUGGAGGCGCUGGUGGGAUACUACCCUAGCUGUGUUGGCUUUCUAACCCGCACCACUUAUCGUGGUGGGAGACAGUGUCAGGCGGGCAGUUUGACUGGGGCGGUCGCCUCCUAAAAGGUAACGGAGGCGCUCAAAGGUUCCCUCAGAAUGGUUGGAAAUCAUUCAUAGAGUGUAAAGGCAUAAGGGAGCUUGACUGCGAGACCUACAAGUCGAGCAGGGUCGAAAGACGGACUUAGUGAUCCGGUGGUUCCGCAUGGAAGGGCCAUCGCUCAACGGAUAAAAGCUACCCCGGGGAUAACAGGCUUAUCUCCCCCAAGAGUUCACAUCGACGGGGAGGUUUGGCACCUCGAUGUCGGCUCAUCGCAUCCUGGGGCUGUAGUCGGUCCCAAGGGUUGGGCUGUUCGCCCAUUAAAGCGGUACGCGAGCUGGGUUCAGAACGUCGUGAGACAGUUCGGUCCCUAUCCGUCGUGGGCGUAGGAAAUUUGAGAGGAGCUGUCCUUAGUACGAGAGGACCGGGAUGGACAUACCUCUGGUGUACCAGUUGUCGUGCCAACGGCAUAGCUGGGUAGCUAUGUGUGGACGGGAUAAGUGCUGAAAGCAUCUAAGCAUGAAGCCCCCCUCAAGAUGAGAUUUCCCAACUUCGGUUAUAAGAUCCCUCAAAGAUGAUGAGGUUAAUAGGUUCGAGGUGGAAGCAUGGUGACAUGUGGAGCUGACGAAUACUAAUCGAUCGAAGACUUAAUCAA
This 2810-nucleotide ribosomal RNA is filed under the name Staphylococcus aureus subsp. aureus CIG1612. RNAcentral describes it as "bacterial LSU rRNA". It matches the Rfam family "Bacterial large subunit ribosomal RNA". The record is from RNAcentral. Lineage: Bacteria; Bacillati; Bacillota; Bacilli; Caryophanales; Staphylococcaceae.